UAAGCCUGUGAAGGUGUGUCGUGAGGCAUGCUGGAGGUAUCAGAAGUGCGAAUGCUGACAUAAGUAACGAUAAAGCGGGUGAAAAGCCCGCUCGCCGGAAGACCAAGGGUUCCUGUCCAACGUUAAUCGGGGCAGGGUGAGUCGACCCCUAAGGCGAGGCCGAAAGGCGUAGUCGAUGGGAAACGGGUUAAUAUUCCCGUACUUGGUGUUACUGCGAAGGGGGGACGGAGAAGGCUAUGUUGGCCGGGCGACGGUUGUCCCGGUUUAAGCGUGUAGGUGUGUGUUCCAGGUAAAUCCGGUUCACUUUAACACUGAGGCGUGACGACGAGGCACUACGGUGCUGAAGCAACAAAUGCCCUGCUUCCAGGAAAAGCCUCUAAGCAUCAGGUAACAUCAAAUCGUACCCCAAACCGACACAGGUGGUCAGGUAGAGAAUACCAAGGCGCUUGAGAGAACUCGGGUGAAGGAACUAGGCAAAAUGGUGCCGUAACUUCGGGAGAAGGCACGCUGACACGUAGGUGAAGUGAUUUACUCAUGGAGCUGAAGUCAGUCGAAGAUACCAGCUGGCUGCAACUGUUUAUUAAAAACACAGCACUGUGCAAACACGAAAGUGGACGUAUACGGUGUGACGCCUGCCCGGUGCCGGAAGGUUAAUUGAUGGGGUCAGCGCAAGCGAAGCUCCUGAUCGAAGCCCCGGUAAACGGCGGCCGUAACUAUAACGGUCCUAAGGUAGCGAAAUUCCUUGUCGGGUAAGUUCCGACCUGCACGAAUGGCGUAAUGAUGGCCAGGCUGUCUCCACCCGAGACUCAGUGAAAUUGAACUCGCUGUGAAGAUGCAGUGUACCCGCGGCAAGACGGAAAGACCCCGUGAACCUUUACUAUAGCUUGACACUGAACAUUGAGCCUUGAUGUGUAGGAUAGGUGGGAGGCUUUGAAGCGUGGACGCCAGUCUGCGUGGAGCCGACCUUGAAAUACCACCCUUUAAUGUUUGAUGUUCUAACGUGGACCCGUGAUCCGGGUUGCGGACAGUGUCUGGUGGGUAGUUUGACUGGGGCGGUCUCCUCCUAAAGAGUAACGGAGGAGCACGAAGGUUGGCUAAUCCUGGUCGGACAUCAGGAGGUUAGUGCAAUGGCAUAAGCCAGCUUGACUGCGAGCGUGACGGCGCGAGCAGGUGCGAAAGCAGGUCAUAGUGAUCCGGUGGUUCUGAAUGGAAGGGCCAUCGCUCAACGGAUAAAAGGUACUCCGGGGAUAACAGGCUGAUA
Molecule: ribosomal RNA, 1261 nt
Filed under: Salmonella enterica
Lineage: Bacteria; Pseudomonadati; Pseudomonadota; Gammaproteobacteria; Enterobacterales; Enterobacteriaceae
Description: partial 23S ribosomal RNA
Rfam family: Bacterial large subunit ribosomal RNA
Source: RNAcentral